CAAAUACUCCCUCCGUCCAGAAAUACUUGUCAUCAAAAUAAAUAAAAAAGGAUGUAUCUAGAUAUAUUUUAGUUCUACAUACAUCCCUUUUUAUCCGUUUUGAAGACAAGUAUUUUCGAACGGAGGGAGUACGUC
This is a non-coding RNA of Triticum aestivum (bread wheat), 135 nucleotides long. The record is from Rfam. NCBI's taxonomy places the organism in Eukaryota, Viridiplantae, Streptophyta, Magnoliopsida, Poales, Poaceae.